RNAcentral lists this ribosomal RNA (253 nucleotides) under uncultured bacterium. Its description in RNAcentral is "partial 16S ribosomal RNA". It matches the Rfam family "Bacterial small subunit ribosomal RNA", at positions 524 to 776 of the family's 1533-position model. The record is from RNAcentral.
UACGGGGGGGGCAAGCGUUGUUCGGAAUUACUGGGCGUAAAGGGCUCGUAGGUGGCCAACUAAGUCAGACGUGAAAUCCCUCGGCUUAACUGGGGAACUGCGUCUGAUACUGGAUGGCUUGAGAUUGGGAGAGGGACGCGGAAUUCCAGGUGUAGCGGUGAAAUGCGUAGAUAUCUGGAGGAACACCGGUGGCGAAGGCGGCGUCCUGGACCAACACUGACACUGAGGAGCGAAAGCGUGGGGAGCAAACAGG